AUAUAUACACAUUUACAUAACAUACACACCACAAGGAGGAGAUAGAGGGCACAUGGACACUGCUCAGUGUGACAUCUGAAGAAGCCAGAGGAGCACAUGGGGACUCAUUAGUCUUGCAGAGCCACAGUAAAGACUAUCCUAGGAGGACCUUUGAUGUACAGCAACAAGACAUGGUUCCAAUUAUCCGGACUCAAACUUUGGGCUUUUCUGUGACUCCUGCCAGACAGCCUCGAUUGGAGACAAACAAUUUCCCCUGGAGAACAUGAUAACGAGAUGCUCUGAAUUCCUGCUCCCUGUUCCAAGGACACCUGUUGAGACUCUACAAGCUUACACACACACACACACCAUGACUUUGUGUGCUUUUACCCACCGGUGUGGGUAGGCGGGGCUGUGACCAGCACCCCCUGGCUGCAGGACUAGAUGGCUGCUGCCUUUAUCAGACUAUAUCCCCAUCCCCUGUUGCGAUGUU
Long non-coding RNA from Danio aesculapii, 469 nucleotides. RefSeq lists it as uncharacterized. The record is from RefSeq and is a predicted model, not a curated record. The transcript is spliced from 3 exons. Lineage: Eukaryota; Metazoa; Chordata; Actinopteri; Cypriniformes; Danionidae.